AUUGUCAGGGAUGUGAUUUGAGCUUGCUCGUCCAGUCGUCCCUGGGAAAACUGACCCGUGAGUGUGAUGAGGGGACGGUGAAGAUCAGCUAACGUGAGCAGUCUGAUCCGGGGGUACGAGGCCCUGGCCAGCCGGUCUCACGGAGACAUCAGCGGUGUGGCAUCCUCACAUGCACUACCGGAUGACGACAGAGUUCCGAUCAGCCUCCGACCUUCUGUUCGGAAGAUCAGGGCAGAGUUGGAACAGCUGACAGAACAGACCGACUCCGUCCCCUCAGCUAGCGGUGUGGUUACCGGUACACCACCGCCUAAACCACCCAGGCUUCACCGUGGAGACAACACAGAC
This is a long non-coding RNA of Branchiostoma belcheri (Belcher's lancelet), 345 nucleotides long. RefSeq lists it as uncharacterized. NCBI's taxonomy places the organism in Eukaryota, Metazoa, Chordata, Leptocardii, Amphioxiformes, Branchiostomatidae. The transcript has 3 exons. The record is from RefSeq and is a predicted model, not a curated record.